CUGCCUCCAUUUCCCCAUCUGUCCCGCACCGGGGCUCAGUCAUGCUCUGCAGCACGUUAGAGCCACCACUUCGGGUGGGAUGUAACGGGUGGAAAGGAAAAAGUGCUCCAGGCACAGAGCCACGUGCAGAGGGUGGCUGGGCUGGCCCGCGAGGAGGGCCCAGGCAGCCACGUGGUCGAGGAGGUGUGGGGAAAGCGGGGCGUGGGGCCUUGACGUGGGCGGCUGCAGGGCCAAGGUGGCCCUCUGAAGGCGUGUCUCAUAAGGAGCCGCCCGGCAGGCCUGACUGGAAAGGGGAGCGCCUGCGGCCCAGAGACCUGGCAGGAGGCCGUGCAGCGGCCGCGGGCUUGCAGUGGGGACGGGGAAGCACAUCAGGAGGACAGCGGGCAGGCUCGAGCUGCCCGUCUGCCUCUCCAGCUGCCGCGGGUCUGGCGCAGCUUUGCCUGGCCCGCCUGCCGCCUCUCUCCUUCCUGCGGCACGAGCACUGACGCGCCCUUCGAGACCUGGCUCGGGACGGCUCUGGAAGCCACUUCGCUGCCCUCGGGCAGAGUCAGUCACGGGGCCCUCGGCCUGCCUCUCUCACGCUCACACCCUCUCCUCCGAGGUCGUCUCCCGGUGCAGAGCCUGGCACACAGGAGGCGCUAGGCUGGGGUCUCACGAACGCACGGCAGGCACGAGGGCAGAGAUGUUCUGUCAUCAGGCUCUCACCUUUGUGAAGUGACCCCUGAGCAGGCCACCCUCCCCUCCUGCCCUCCCGAGGUCUCUGCCUGGGGAACCUUCCUUUGCACACUCGGGAACUCAACCUUGGGUUCCUUCAGCCCAUAGGUGUGCUGAGGUCCUGUGUGUGUCAGGUACUGUGCUAGGAGCUGACGGGCAGUAGUGAGCAGAAACCAUUUGGUCCCUGCACUCAAGGAGCUGCUGAUGCUGUGUGUGUGUGUGUGUGUGUGUGUGUGUGCAUGUGCGUGUGUGGCACUUUUUGGAUUGGGUGGUCAGCAAAGCCCUCCUGUGGAAGGUGACACUUCAGCUGGAACUGGGGUGAGAAGACACUCACGCCGUCCUAAGUCUUGGGGAAAGCAUGGAAGGCCGAGGGGGCAGCCGGGGCAAAGCCAGGCCGGGCCUGCUUAGAUGAGCCAACCCAAGCGGUCACCUUUCUGAGCUCCCGCCCUGCGAUCGUGGCCUCUCAGACUCAGCCCACCAGCCCCAGGAGCGCCCAGAACAUCCUCUCAGCGCUCUGGCCGCGGGCCUGCCCCGUGUACCUCCAGUGACUAGAGAUGCAGCCUUUCGCCGGGACUGCCUUGCCUGUCUCGUGCUGUAGAACUAGACGGCUCAGCUGCACCCAGCAGCUCCUCUGGGGUUCCAGGGAGACCCUUGGGGUGGGGGGAGGCCGGUGAGAGCAUUCUCAAGCCCCCUGCCACCCGCCCUUGGGCUGGCUGUGACCCAUGCUGCCCCCAGGGCCCCUGAACUACUGCUCUCUGAGCUGCAAGGAGGUUGCAGUCGGAGCUUUUUGGAGAGCAGAGGGUGGAGGAAAGAAGGUACUUCCUCCCCUGCUGCCCCAAGAAUGCCUGACGUGGGGCAGAAGGGUCACUGGGGGCGAGCAGUGUUAAUUUAGUAGUGUUCGUUUUCACCUUUGUUGUUUUUCCACCUAUAAAAAAUUAUAUAAGCAGGGGCUGGGGAGGAGGGAAUGGGAGUUGUGUUCAGCGGAUUCAGACUUUCUGUCCGGGAGGAUGAAAAAGUUCUGGAGGUGGAUGGUGGCAGUGGUUGCACAAGACUGUGGAACUGCACACUUCAAAACGGUUAGAACUCUGCCCUCAGAAUUGUUAAGAUGGUAAAAAAAAAAAAAGUUAAAAUGGUAAAUUUUAUGUUAUGUAUAUUUUACCGCAAUAUUUUGAAAAAGUAAUACCUGCUCCCAGCUGACUGCUCUAUCCUCAGGGCCGAGCACAGAGUAGGCGUGCAAAAGGUAACCGUCGAAUGCAAGGAUGUGAGCAGAAAAUGCAGACCCACCUGGGCUCCGCCGGCCUGAGGCUCCCAACCUUCGGGAAGAGAAGCGGGAGGAGCCGGCCGGGCUUCCCCAGCGGAUGCUGAGGCAGAGACUCACCUGGGCCUUCUCUUGCCAGAGAGGGAGCGUCCCUUGCUGGUCCAGCAGCCGGGCAAUGAUCACGAGGCUGAGCUGGCGUCGAAGCUGCCUGUGAGAGAAGGGGCGAGAGAGACUGAGCGGGUGUACCACCCUGGGGGGGGGAUUGAAGUCCCCAGGGUGGGUGCAAGGAGGGGCAGGACACACACCGAGACGUGAACAGGGGAGAGCCACGUAGGGAACUUUGGCUUUCUCCUUUGGUUUAUAAUUUAUUUUAGAAGUAAUAAAACAUGCAAGCUGGGAAAGUUUAAAAAUAAGCAAAAAGAAAAAAGUUAUUUUGUAAAAGAAGCGGUAACUUCAGAGGCUCGCAUAGUGGUAUUUACCGGCUUAGUGUUUUCCUCUAUGUAUUUGUGCUACACAGAGAUCGGGACCGUUCAGCCUCCUUCGCACAGACCGUCGCCUUUCCUUUCCCUUGCAGCAUCAUGAGCUUUCAGCCCAUGCAGGGUGGUGGAAGGGGGGUGACCGGGGCUUGGUGAGGUCAGGUUUUGUUCUUGUGUUUCUCAGCCAGCAUCCAGUGACUUUCUUUUGGAGAAACCCUCACCCACCACACCCGGCCCAAAUCCCAGCUCCCAGGGUGGGCACGUGAGCCAGGCCUGGCCCAUCAGUCCCUGUGUUUGAGCCACUGAGAGGUGGCCUCGGGGUCUUGGCUGGAGCUACCAGUAGAGCGUGUGCCUUUCCAGCAGGACCACUGAUCAGGUGGGAGGUGACCCCGCUGUCGCUGGUGGCCAUCCUGCCUCUUUGUGGGGCAGUCUGGAGAAUGCAACAAGCAGAGAUAGAGCCCUGACAACACCCAGAGCCUGCCCUGCCUGAAGCCUCCGGCCCCCGGACCCGUGCGGUCAGUGGGUUGGUUGGCUCAGCUGAUGAAGUCCCUUUGGCUUCUUCAGUCAGUCUGAGCUGGGCUCCUAAGUCUAGCGCCAAACAGUCCUAACUGAUUCACUCAGGAUGGAGCUGGUGUCUCCACUCUUCAGGAGUAAAGACCUCUAAUGGGGAUUUUAGACGCUAACGUUUGUGGCUCUGAUUUUCAUGGGUCCUUGAGGGCUGGAGCGAGUAAAAAGAAGAGAGGAGGGAAGUAGAGACUAGAGGACAGGGCUAGGGGUGGCAGUGGCCAGGAGAGGCUGGAGAGGGGCGAUGGGAGAAGGGGUGGAGGGUUACAUCCUCCUCGAGGCUUCACACACUUGUUGCCCCCAUGGACAGCAGAAGGCAGCCCCUGGCACGGACUCUGAUGUGGCCCACAGUCGCUGAUUCCCGCGGAAAGCCACCACCAGGGGAAGCAAAGGAGAGGUUCUGAAGCCGGCGGAAACUGAAGGAACACGAAGGACACCAGGUGGGCUGGAAGCGGCUCCGUAGAGGAGAAAUGCUCUCUGGUAACAACACUGCUGGAGGGUCCCCAUGGGCGCCCCUACCCCCAUCCUUGGGACGACCCCACGGGGAAACGAAGGACAGGACAUCGGGGACAGGCAGCCCUCGGAAAUGAUGUUUCCCUAAGGAAGUACCUGGGGGAAGCAGGACUGAGCCCCGCCUGAGCGGUGCUGAAGGCGCCCCUGCAACUUCCCCAGGGCCUGUGGCUGCCAUGGCCUCACGUGGGUGCAGGAGGGGCUCCCAGUUGGUGGGGAACGGAGGUGGGAAUGGCCUUCUCCAAGCCAGGAGGGUAGGUGGUACCUGAAGCAGGGGCCUUGUUGAUCUUAUUCAAGAAAAUCAGAGAAAUCAACAAGGCAAGAGGCUCUUGAUUAAAAAAAAAAAGGGAAAAACGCAGCAUCAGACAGCAGCAUCACAUACUAGAAGGGUAAACACGAGAAAGAGGGGAGACGCUCCCACACAGCCGGCAGGGACACGGAUGCAUACACCUACCUCGGCCAACUGCCUGGCGAGACCUACUAAAGAUAAAGAUGUUCGUGUGCCCGCCCCACGGCCCGGCAGUCCUAAUCCCGGGCACACACGUACGGUGUACGAGAAAAGAGAGGGGCACGAGCAGCACCAAUCCGCCACUAGAAUGGAGAGAGGGACUGGGCUCCACUCACGCAUCUCAAGCCCACGCGGAACGAUUACGGAUGAGCCACGACUCCAUCCGGCAGCACGGGGGAGCCUCACAGGGCUGUGUGAGAGAAGCCAGUUCCAACAGAACACACGUGUAUGAUUUCACUUACACUAAGUACAGAAACGGGGAUACGUGGCAGGGGUGGGGUGGCGGGCAGGCUCUGCUCACGUCUCAUUUCUUCUUCUUCUUUUUCUUUUCAUUCGGCCGCACCAUGUGGCUCGUGGGAACCUUAGUUCCCCAACCAGGGACUGAACCUGGGCCCUGGCAGUGGAAGCGCCGCGUCCUAACCACUGGGCCGCCAGGGAAUUCCCUCAUUUCUUGAUCUGGGUGCUGGUUUUACAUGUGUUCGACUUGUGGAAACCCACUGAGCACACACUUACGGUCUGUGUUCUGUUUGUAUGUUGCAGUCCAAUAAAACUAUUACUUAAAGAAGAAGUUCAGCUGGGGGGUGGUAAGGACUGCCUGACUUAGCCAAUAAAAAUACAGGAUGCCAGUUAAAUUUGAACUUCCUAUAGAUAAAGAACAAUUUUUUUUA
Molecule: long non-coding RNA, 4698 nt
Organism: Orcinus orca (killer whale)
Lineage: Eukaryota; Metazoa; Chordata; Mammalia; Artiodactyla; Delphinidae
Exons: 3
Source: RefSeq, a predicted model, not a curated record